AUAAGAGGUCCAGCCUGCCCAGUGACAAAGUUCAACGGCCGCGGUAAACUAACCGUGCGAAGGUAGCAUAAUCACUCGUUCUUUAAAUAAGGACUUGUAUCAACGGCAUCACGAGGGUUGCACUGUCUCCUUUUUCUAAUCAGUGAAACUGAUCUCCCCGUGAAGAAGCGGGGAUACCAAUACAAGACGAGAAGACCCCAUGGAGCUUUAAACCCACAGCAACUCAAUAAUAUAACCCUCAAAAUCAUAGAGAACUGCACGUCGGCUUUAGGUUGGGGUGACCACGGAGCAAAAAUUAACCUCCAUGACGAAAAGAACUAAAUCUUUAUCUAAGGGCCACAACCCUAAGAAUUAGUAUACUAACGUGAAAUGACCCAAUAAUGAUCAACGGACCAAGUUACCCUGGGGAUAACAGCGCAAUCUACUUCAAGAGCCCCUAUCGACAAGUAGGCUUACGACCUCGAUGUUGGAUCAGGGUACCCCAGUGGUGCAGCCGCUACUAAAGGUUCGUUU
RNAcentral lists this ribosomal RNA (513 nucleotides) under Gracixalus quyeti. Its description in RNAcentral is "partial 16S ribosomal RNA". It matches the Rfam family "Bacterial large subunit ribosomal RNA", at positions 1845 to 2578 of the family's 2925-position model. Lineage: Eukaryota; Metazoa; Chordata; Amphibia; Anura; Rhacophoridae. The record is from RNAcentral.